Molecule: long non-coding RNA, 704 nt
Organism: Nymphaea colorata (pocket water lily)
Lineage: Eukaryota; Viridiplantae; Streptophyta; Magnoliopsida; Nymphaeales; Nymphaeaceae
Exons: 3
Source: RefSeq, a predicted model, not a curated record
CGAUAUGAAAAAAAUUCCUCGCCCGAUGACGAAACUCUCGCUCGACUCUCUCUUCUUACUGCGCCUCGCUCGACCCUCUCUUCGCCCUCGCUUCACUGGUUCCUUCGACUGUUCGGCAGCACCAUCACUUGUUCUGUAGACAGACAAGCAAUGCAUGAUGGUGCAAUAGAUGGCAAGCCGCUGCAGUGUUUUGAGUAUCAUUCUGAUGAUCUGGAGUUGCAAUUUCAGUAUUGACUACUUCGAAUCCUUCGGGUGAAUUUCGGAUUCUUCUUAUGAAGAGUCAAUAACCCAAUCAAAGUGAGUAGAAAACGUACCUGAAGUAGUUGCACCGGCUGCCGAAGCCACCAUAGCAGUUGUUUCUUUUUGUUUGCAGACACUUUGUAAAAGUUCUGUAAUAGUUUUCAACUAAGCAGCCACAUCAACAUCUCCUAUAGCAGCGGAAUGGGCAGUUGCAGCAGAUUCAUUUGAUCGACGAGUCAAAGAUUGGUCUGGCUUCCCAUGCAAUGUCCAGCACCUCUCACGGGUAUGUCCGUCCUUCUUACAAUAGGUACAUGUGAACUUGCUGCGAUUUUGGUUUCUUGGUUUAUUUCCAAUGAAACUGUGGCUGUCUUUCUUUUCCAUGGUGGCAGCAAAGGCGGUGGUAUUAGUAGUGGUAUACACUGCCUUAUCCGUGCCGUCAACAGAUGGAAUAAUUUGUAACUUGU